Molecule: long non-coding RNA, 895 nt
Organism: Cyprinus carpio (common carp)
Lineage: Eukaryota; Metazoa; Chordata; Actinopteri; Cypriniformes; Cyprinidae
Source: Ensembl
UGUGAUUUGAGAUAUGCUAAAACCCUCAGAAGAGGAACUUGGGGGUUUGGUGCGAGAGGAGUCAAUGGAGAACAAAUGCAACUUUUCUGCCUAAUCUCCUCUCUGAAUUGUUUUUGUAUUGCAUGCUUCAUUUAUAUCUAUGAGGGUGCACAUUGUGUAAUAUAUUUAAUUAAUGGCAUCUGUUAUGGAAAACUAGGCCAGACUAGUUGAUGGGAGAUGUCUAGUGCACAAAGACUGAUAUAAAACACUCAUACAGAACUUAGUUAUGCUCUCCCGAAAGGUUUAUGCGCUAUUCUACUGUUUUAUUGCACGUCUGAUCUCUUAUUCUGAUUCCCCUCCAGACGACCGCCAAGAAAAGGAAUCGUCUCGUACCUAGAGUUGGCGUUCGCAUUUGGAGAUUCAUGACAGGCCGCUGGUCGGUACAUUUGGAGAACGGCGCAGAAGACUGUUCGGAAGGCUGAUGGUGGCAUUACCUGCGUGCAAAUCACCUCAAGGUAGAAUCGAAAGAAAACAGAGCAGUGAUGACUCAUCCUGCACUACACAGAUUUUUUGUCCAAUCAGAUGCUCUCUCUUGAAGAAUGGCCCGCCCCCUUAGCCACAUACAACCGACUAGAAAUGGAGCAGUGAUGACUCAUCCAGCACUACAGAUUUUUGUCCAAUCAGAUGCUCUCUUGAAGGAGAACAUCCCGCCCCCUUAUGCUGCACACAACCGACUACUGGCCCAUCCCAAGAGUGUUGUGCAUUGUGCCGGACUGAAGAAAUCUCAUCACUGUAUUGAUACAUCACAAAAGCCAAGCACAAUCAUCAUCUGUGAAAGAUCCUCUGAGACCAAUUUAAACCCCAAAGAUUUUGACCAUAACAUUUAAAUCAGCAAAACGGUCUAAUUCAGUGUUGG